RNAcentral lists this ribosomal RNA (558 nucleotides) under uncultured bacterium. RNAcentral's name for it is "bacterial SSU rRNA". It matches the Rfam family "Bacterial small subunit ribosomal RNA", at positions 777 to 1343 of the family's 1533-position model. The record is from RNAcentral.
AAUAGAUACCCCGGUAGUCCACGCCGUAAACGAUGGAUGCUAGCUAUUGGGGGGAAUCGACCCCCUCCGAAGCGAAGCUAACGCGUUAAGCAUCCCGCCUGAGUAGUACGAGCGCAAGCUUAAAACUCAAAGGAAUUGACGGGGGACCCGCACAAGCGGUGGAGCGUGUGGUUUAAUUCGAUGGUAAACGAAGAACCUUACCAAGGUUUGACAUCCCGGUAGCCGUUCUCCGAAAGGAGAAUUUCAUUUAGUUGGACCGGUGACAGGUGAUGUAUGGCCGUCGUCAGCUCGUGUCGUGAGAUGUUGGGUUAAGUCCCGCAACGAGCGCAACCCUUAUGAUUUAGUUGGAUUUUUCUAAACAGACUGCCCUGGUAACAGGGAGGAAGGAGGGGAUGAUGUCAGGUCAGUAUUUCCCUUACACCUUGGGCGACACACGCGCUACAAUGGCCGGUACAAUGGGCAGCUAAGCCGCGAGGUGGAGCAAAUCCCAUCAAAGCCGGUCCCAGUUCGGAUUGCAGGCUGAAACCCGCCUGCAUGAAGCCGGAAUCGCUAGUAACC